RNAcentral lists this transfer RNA (67 nucleotides) under Leptotrichia wadei. It matches the Rfam family "tRNA". Rfam says of the family: Transfer RNA (tRNA) molecules are approximately 80 nucleotides in length. Their secondary structure includes four short double-helical elements and three loops (D, anti-codon, and T loops). Further hydrogen bonds mediate the characteristic L-shaped molecular structure. tRNAs have two regions of fundamental functional importance: the anti-codon, which is responsible for specific mRNA codon recognition, and the 3' end, to which the tRNAs corresponding amino acid is attached (by aminoacyl-tRNA synthetases). tRNAs cope with the degeneracy of the genetic code in two manners: having more than one tRNA (with a specific anti-codon) for a particular amino acid; and 'wobble' base-pairing, i.e. permitting non-standard base-pairing at the 3rd anti-codon position. The record is from RNAcentral. Lineage: Bacteria; Fusobacteriati; Fusobacteriota; Fusobacteriia; Fusobacteriales; Leptotrichiaceae.
AGUAGUAGCACAAUGGCAGUGCUUUAGUCUUCCAAACUAAAGAUGCGGGUUCAAUUCCCGUCUACUG